GACGAACGCUGGCGGCGUGCUUAACACAUGCAAGUCGAACGGAAAGGCCCAGCUUGCUGGGUGCUCGAGUGGCGAACGGGUGAGUAACACGUGGGUGAUCUGCCCCUGACUUCGGGAUAAGCUUGGGAAACUGGGUCUAAUACCGGAUAGGACAAUCGUUUAGUGUCGGUUGUGGAAAGUUUUUUCGGUUAGGGAUGAGCCCGCGGCCUACCAGCUUGUUGGUGGGGUAAUGGCCUACCAAGGCGUCGACGGGUAGCCGGCCUGAGAGGGUGGACGGCCACAUUGGGACUGAGAUACGGCCCAGACUCCUACGGGAGGCAGCAGUGGGGAAUAUUGCACAAUGGGCGCAAGCCUGAUGCAGCGACGCCGCGU
This 372-nucleotide ribosomal RNA is filed under the name uncultured bacterium. RNAcentral describes it as "bacterial SSU rRNA". It matches the Rfam family "Bacterial small subunit ribosomal RNA", at positions 28 to 402 of the family's 1533-position model. The record is from RNAcentral.